RNAcentral lists this ribosomal RNA (390 nucleotides) under uncultured bacterium. RNAcentral describes it as "bacterial SSU rRNA". It matches the Rfam family "Bacterial small subunit ribosomal RNA", at positions 28 to 420 of the family's 1533-position model. The record is from RNAcentral.
GACGAACGCUGGCGGCGUGCUUAACACAUGCAAGUCGAGCGGUAAGGCCCUUUCGGGGGUACACGAGCGGCGAACGGGUGAGUAGCACGUGGGUGACCUGCCCUCAGCUCUGGGAUAAGCCUGGGAAACCGGGUCUAAUACCGGAUAUGACUCCAUGACGCAUGUUGUGGGGUGGAAAGCCUUGUGCGGCUGAGGAUGGGCCCGCGGCCUAUCAGCUUGUUGGUGGGGGAUGGCCUACCAAGGCGACGACGGGUAGCCGGCCUGAGAGGGCGACCGGCCACACUGGGACUGAGACACGGCCCAGACCCCUACGGGAGGCAGCAGUGGGGAAUCUUGCGCAAUGGGCGAAAGCCUGACGCAGCGACGCCGCGUGAGGGAUGACGGCCUCGG